RNAcentral lists this transfer RNA (65 nucleotides) under Stygiocaris lancifera. RNAcentral's name for it is "tRNA-Tyr". Lineage: Eukaryota; Metazoa; Arthropoda; Malacostraca; Decapoda; Atyidae. The record is from RNAcentral.
GGUUAUAUGGCCGAGAUUUUAGGCGGUAGAUUGUAAAUUUACAGACGGAUGGGUUCCUUUAACCA